GUUACCAUGAGAAGCGCAGCGUCACGCCGGUAUCGCGCUGAUGUACCAUUAUGCUAAGCGUCGUAGCUGAUUUUAGUUCUGGAAAUCCCCGCUACUGGAGCGUCUAGAGAAACUGGAAUCUAGGACCGGAGAGUAAGAGUACUUCAGGGUAGAAGUGAAAUCUGUAUCCUUGAGGGACCACCAAUGCGAAGGCAUCUUACCAGAACGGCUCCACACUGACGAACGAAAGCUGGGGAGCGAACGGGAUUAGAUACCCCGGUGGGGGCAGCCGUCACCCUAUGCGCGUUAGGAGUACCAGUAACUACGAGUUACCGCGUGCCGAUAUUUAUCACAAGAAACGUGCCGCCUGGGAAGUACGGUCGCAAGGCUGAAACUUAAAGGAAUUGGCGGGGGAGCACAAAAACGGGUGGAGCCUGCGGUUUAAUUGGACUCAACGCCGGGCAGCUCACCGGAUAGGACAGCGGAAUGAUAGCCGGGCUGAAGACCUUGCUUGACCAGCUGAGAGGAGGUGCAUGGCCGUCGUCAGUUCGUACUGUGAAGCAUCCUGUUU
Molecule: ribosomal RNA, 550 nt
Filed under: uncultured archaeon
Lineage: Archaea
Description: bacterial SSU rRNA
Rfam family: Archaeal small subunit ribosomal RNA
Source: RNAcentral